This is a long non-coding RNA of Rhineura floridana, 678 nucleotides long. RefSeq lists it as uncharacterized. The transcript is spliced from 2 exons. The record is from RefSeq and is a predicted model, not a curated record. NCBI's taxonomy places the organism in Eukaryota, Metazoa, Chordata, Lepidosauria, Squamata, Rhineuridae.
AGAGAGUUUUUGGGAGAGGCUGCAGAGAUGCAAAAGAGAUCAAAGUACAGUGAAAGGCUUUACAGCUGAAGGAGAGAGAUAGUUAUUCUCGAAGACGCACUCAAGUCAACAAGUCAAUCCAAGGAAGAAAAUAAUAGAAAAACUUGUGUUCACCAUGCAUAUCAUGAGAGCACUGAUCCAUGUAAUGUGUUAAUGAACAAGAAUAGCACCUACCUUGGCAUCCUCAAGUGCGUUAAGAACUGGAUGAAUAAACAGAGGAAAUAAACAUAACUGUAAGCACAGCAUCGGAAGUGAAGCGUGAAGUUUUAAUUUUCCUUCUCUGAUUCUGUGUUAAUUUGCAUCUGUGACACAUCAUAGCCUCUUGGAUUUUGCUCUCUCCCUCCCUCUUUUUUAAUGCAAACCAGUCCUUGGCAAGAAUUCCCCCUGCUCUUUCUAAAGCUGGAAGUUGCUGACUUUUGCAGAAGACAUUCUGCAAAACGUUGAUCACAUAUUAACAUGGAAAUUGGCAACUGAGAGUUUUCACUGAAAGUCUAAAAUGGGCUAUUUUGGAAGUCAGUGGUAAUGUUUAAAAAGUAGCAUUAAAAAUUGUGUACCCCCGCUUUCAUCUUCACCCUCAGUCCCAUGCCUCCUACUCAUAUAUGGGUGCUGGCUUGUUAAUAAAAUGCCUAUUCUAAAUUA